RNAcentral lists this ribosomal RNA (498 nucleotides) under uncultured bacterium. Its description in RNAcentral is "partial 16S ribosomal RNA". It matches the Rfam family "Bacterial small subunit ribosomal RNA", at positions 30 to 523 of the family's 1533-position model. The record is from RNAcentral.
AUUGAACGCUGGCGGCAUGCCUUACACAUGCAAGUCGAACGGUAACAGGUCUUCGGAUGCUGACGAGUGGCGAACGGGUGAGUAAUACAUCGGAACGUGCCUAGUAGUGGGGGAUAACUACUCGAAAGAGUGGCUAAUACCGCAUGAGAUCUACGGAUGAAAGCAGGGGAUCGCAAGACCUUGUGCUACUAGAGCGGCCGAGGGCAGAUUAGGUAGUUGGUGGGAUAAAAGCUUACCAAGCCGACGAUCUGUAGCUGGUCUGAGAGGACGAUCAGCCACACUGGGACUGAGACGCGGCCCAGACUCCUACGGGAGGCAGCAGUGGGGAAUUUUGGACAAUGGGCGAAAGCCUGAUCCAGCAAUGCCGCGUGCAGGAUGAAGGCCUUCGGGUUGUAAACUGCUUUUGUACGGAACGAAAAGCCCUGGGUUAAUACCCUGGGGUCAUGACGGUACCGUAAGAAUAAGCACCGGCUAACUACGUGCCAGCAGCCGCCGCAG